GAGCCCCAGCGGGGAAGGAGGAAGAAGAAGAGGAGGAGGCGGCGGUGCGGGGCUGCGUCCCGGGCGGCGGUAAAUCCUCGGAGGCAGCGCUUCCCAACCCCGGCCGCCUCCCGCCAGGGGCUGCGGGGACGCAUCCAGAGGGCAGCGCCGCGAGCCCCCGGCCGAGAGCGGGGAGGGAAGGGGCGCCGAGCCCCCCUCCCCCGGUCCUGCUCCGGGCACGGACAAAUCCCUUUAAUGGAGACGCACUGCUGGGAGUGGGGGGAAGAAGCGGAUCACAGCGCGCUGGCCCUCAAGGAGAAAAAUCGGGGGGAUUAAUUAAUUUAAAAAAAUAAAAAAAAAUAACGGGGGCUGCGGGCGCAGCGCCCAGACCCACACCUGCCGCCGCGCUGCGCCGACUGAGCGGGCGAGCCCCGCCGCGCCAGGUUUAAAUACCCCCACCGAGGCCACGCCCCCUUAGCCACGCCCAUAAGCCGUUAAGCCACGCCCCUCGUGAGCCGUUGCUCCGCCCCCGCUCCUCCCAACGGGCGGUACCGGUUCCACCCCCUCGUGUGCCGCCCCGCCUAUGGGGGCGCCGGUUGCUAUUGGCUGGCUUGGGCUGUCAGUCAGGGGGGCGCCGCGGUUGAGGAUUGGUGGCUGCGCGUCCGAGAGCCCCGGCCCUUCUGCACUUCAUAAAUACUAGCUAGAAAAUCAUACCGCUGAAUUACACGACUUUAAGUGAGUUUGUGGUUCAGUAGCGGCCCAUUUCACAGUCUUACAGGGAGCUGCAUGAUACAGAACUGUAGAAAAACAAGAUGGAACAGACAAACCCCCCAUGUCAUCUAGUCCAGCAGUUUGCCCAAGGAAAGAGUCCAGGGGACACUAAUAUCAGCGGAACUGCCUUGACAGAAAAUUGGAUAUUCUACAAUGUGACAGUGAGGCCACCACUUGUGAUUCAGCAUAGAGUGAACACCAAGGAUUGUGCUUCUGUUCAGCACAAAGUAUAGCAGAUGUGACCUCCAGCUACUGUUGCAGAUGGAUGUGGAUCGCCUAUAGAUCUUGUGUCAUAUUGCCUCUCCCUGUACAAAUGAUGCCUUGUUAUCAAGUCUUGAGGAAUCUCAGGUAACACCAGAUGCUCAUUCCUAGGCAAUUGAAUUGCAUCUUUCCCAUUCUUGGAGAAUUUCUUCCUGGCUUAUGGAAAAACAAUGAAAAGACACUAUUUUCUUUGACCAAAAAGAAGGAAAAAAAAAUGGUUGGAAUGAUUGUGAUUUCUCAUUUCAGUUAAGAAAACAAAUACAUUGACUUCAGACUGUGUUUACUUUUUUUUUGUAAAUGACUGAGGUGUGUCCCAUGGCAACAAUCUGUUUCUUUGAUGGAAACCUCAAUGAAAUCUGUCAUUAGCUGGUUUGUUUUCACAUACCAAGUCUG
This 1404-nucleotide long non-coding RNA is filed under the name Anas platyrhynchos platyrhynchos (common mallard). Its description in RNAcentral is "lncRNA (ENSAPLG00000031214.1)". The record is from RNAcentral. Lineage: Eukaryota; Metazoa; Chordata; Aves; Anseriformes; Anatidae.